AGCUAUAUUGCUUCGUCUUCAAUUUUUCCUUGAACAAGCUUGACACGACUGACUAUUGUCAGAUUUUGCCUUAAUAAAGAAAUGUUCGCAAUAUACCAGAAAUACAAAUACAAAUUUCGCGAUACUUUUUUUAUAGACCUCGUAUUGCUUAUAAAAUUAAAGUAUGAGAUAAAAGGCAUUUAAUUAUUCUACUAAUGAAUAAAAAGAAUUUGUCAUUGUGUGCAUAGAUAGAGUGACAGAUGUCAAAUUUUAUAUUUUCUUUUCUUUUACUUAAUUUUGAGUUAUUCCUGAAAAAUUUGAAUAAAGUGCAUUCUGCUAUAGGCGAUGAAGAAAUCCUCGUCUGGAGGACACUAUUAUUCCUAUCUGCAAUGACAUAGGAAAUGAUACAACGUCUCAUCAUUUCCUCCAUAUGCCUUACGAACGAUACCACUUGCCACACCUAUUCUGUGAACUAUGAAGUUUUUGACGCCAGCACGGUAUUUCCUUUUCCAAUUUGUCAAUUUCCUUACUUAGGUGGCAGAUGGAUAUUGAGUUGUCCAAGUUCUAAAAAAAAAAAAAAUAUUUUAGUUAUGUCUCCAUACUUGAAAUACAGUUUCUUUGAACCAAA
Molecule: long non-coding RNA, 607 nt
Organism: Stomoxys calcitrans (stable fly)
Lineage: Eukaryota; Metazoa; Arthropoda; Insecta; Diptera; Muscidae
Exons: 2
Source: RefSeq, a predicted model, not a curated record